This 304-nucleotide ribosomal RNA is filed under the name uncultured bacterium. Its description in RNAcentral is "partial 16S ribosomal RNA". It matches the Rfam family "Bacterial small subunit ribosomal RNA", at positions 506 to 809 of the family's 1533-position model. The record is from RNAcentral.
CAGCAGCCGCCGCGGUAAAACGGAGGGUGCAAGCGUUAAUCGGAAUUACUGGGCGUAAAGCGCACGCAGGCGGUCUGUCAAGUCAGAUGUGAAAUCCCCGGGCUUAACCUGGGAACUGCAUUUGAAACUGGCAGGCUAGAGUCUUGUAGAGGGGGGUAGAAUUCCAGGUGUAGCGGUGAAAUGCGUAGAGAUCUGGAGGAAUACCGGUGGCGAAGGCGGCCCCCUGGACAAAGACUGACGCUCAGGUGCGAAAGCGUGGGGAGCAAACAGGAUUAGAUACCCCGGUAGUCCCUGUCUCUUAUAA